UGAUCACCAAGCGUGGCAGUGGCUCUCUGAGAUACCACCGUUAAUAUGCAAAAUCUCCCAUCAAUAACAAGUUGGAUCUUAAGACCCCAUAUACCGCUUCAUCAACCAGAUCAAGAAAUCUCCCUCUCCAUGACGAUGCAAAUAAUCUGGAGAUAAACUAGAAUAAAACCCACACAAAAACAACUUGUAGAGAUGAUGAGGGAAAUCAAUAUGACAAGUGGAUGAACAAGACUAUACAGCCAUUCCUUCCCCUGUACUAGACAGGGAAAGAUACCAAAAAAUAUCACAGCUUUACCAGAAAAUGAC
RNAcentral lists this long non-coding RNA (306 nucleotides) under Manihot esculenta (cassava). Its description in RNAcentral is "long non-coding RNA (MESC_LNC000233)". Lineage: Eukaryota; Viridiplantae; Streptophyta; Magnoliopsida; Malpighiales; Euphorbiaceae. The record is from RNAcentral.